UCUUUCCGAGGCUCUGCAAUCGGAAUGAGUACACUCUAAAUCAUUUAACGAGUAUCCAUUGGAGGGCAAGUCUGGUGCCAGCAGCCGCGGUAAUUCCAGCUCCAAUAGCGUAUAUUAAAGUUGUUGCGGUUAAAAAGCUCGUAGUUGGAUCUGUGUUCCACUCUGUCGGUUCGUUGCCCGUCAGCGUUUAACUGGCAUGUAAGUGGAACGUCCUGCCGGUUGGUAAGGUGUGCCUGAAAGGGUGCAUUUUUGCCAGUCCAAUCCUGUCGCGGUGCUCUUUAUUGAGUGUCGAGGCAGGCCGGCACGUUUACUUUGAACAAAUUUGAGUGCUUAAAGCAGGCUUUUACGCCUGAAAACUGUUUGCAUGGAAUAAUGGAAUAGGACCUCGGUUCUAUUUUGUUGGUUUUCGGAGCCCGAGGUAAUGAUUAAUAGGGACAGGCGGGGGCAUUAGUAUUGCGACGUUAGAGGUGAAAUUCUUGGAUCGUCGCAAGACUGACCUAAGCGAAAGCAUUUGCCAAGGAUGCUUCCAUUAAUCAAGAACGAAAGUUAGAGGUUCGAAGGCGAUCAGAUACCGCCCUAGUUCUAACCAUAAACGAUGCCAGCCAGCGAUCCGUCGAAGUUCCUCCGAUGACUCGACGGGCAGCUUCCGGGAAACUAAAGCUUUUAGGUUCCGGGGGAAGUAUGGUU
RNAcentral lists this ribosomal RNA (687 nucleotides) under Lepinotus reticulatus. Its description in RNAcentral is "SSU rRNA". It matches the Rfam family "Eukaryotic small subunit ribosomal RNA", at positions 490 to 1130 of the family's 1831-position model. The record is from RNAcentral. Lineage: Eukaryota; Metazoa; Arthropoda; Insecta; Psocodea; Trogiidae.